CGGGGAGUAGUUCAGUUGGCUAGAACGCCCGGUUUGGGACCGGGAGGUCGCAGGUUCAAGUCCUGUCUCCCCGA
This 74-nucleotide transfer RNA is filed under the name Candidatus Dojkabacteria bacterium. RNAcentral describes it as "tRNA-Pro". It matches the Rfam family "tRNA". From Rfam's summary of the family: Transfer RNA (tRNA) molecules are approximately 80 nucleotides in length. Their secondary structure includes four short double-helical elements and three loops (D, anti-codon, and T loops). The record is from RNAcentral.